GAUGAACGCUGGCGGCGUGCCUAAUACAUGCAAGUCGAGCGAACAGACGAGGAGCUUGCUCCUCUGACGUUAGCGGCGGACGGGUGAGUAACACGUGGAUAACCUACCUAUAAGACUGGGAUAACUUCGGGAAACCGGAGCUAAUACCGGAUAAUAUAUUGAACCGCAUGGUUCAAUAGUGAAAGACGGUUUUGCUGUCACUUAUAGAUGGAUCCGCGCCGCAUUAGCUAGUUGGUAAGGUAACGGCUUACCAAGGCAACGAUGCGUAGCCGACCUGAGAGGGUGAUCGGCCACACUGGAACUGAGACACGGUCCAGACUCCUACGGGAGGCAGCAGUAGGGAAUCUUCCGCAAUGGGCGAAAGCCUGACGGAGCAACGCCGCGUGAGUGAUGAAGGUCUUCGGAUCGUAAAACUCUGUUAUUAGGGAAGAACAAAUGUGUAAGUAACUAUGGACGUCUUGACGGUACCUAAUCAGAAAGCAACGGCUAACUACGUG
RNAcentral lists this ribosomal RNA (497 nucleotides) under uncultured bacterium. RNAcentral's name for it is "partial 16S ribosomal RNA". It matches the Rfam family "Bacterial small subunit ribosomal RNA", at positions 28 to 507 of the family's 1533-position model. The record is from RNAcentral.